Molecule: unclassified non-coding RNA, 328 nt
Filed under: soil metagenome
Description: partial contains 5.8S ribosomal RNA, internal transcribed spacer 2, and large subunit ribosomal RNA
Rfam family: 5.8S ribosomal RNA (bases 1-120)
Source: RNAcentral
GAUGAAGAACGUAGCGAAAUGCGAUAAGUAAUGUGAAUUGCAGAAUUCAGUGAAUCAUCGAAUCUUUGAACGCACAUUGCGCCCCUUGGUAUUCCGAGGGGCAUGCCUACUCGAGCGUCAUUAUAACCCCUCAAGCUCAGCUUGGUGUUGGGGCCUGCCGCACGGGCAGCCCUUAAAAUCAGUGGCGGUGCCAUCUGGCUCUAAGCGUAGUAAUUCUUCUCGCUAUAGAGUCCCGGUGGAUGCUUGCCAUUAACCCCCAAUUUUCUAUGGUUGACCUCGGAUCAGGUAGGGAUACCCGCUGAACUUAAGCAUAUCAAUAAGCGGAGGA